UGAAGUGUAGCUCAGUGGUAGAGUACUUGCUUGCAUGCACUGGCCCUGGAUUUAAUUCCCAGCACCACAA
RNAcentral lists this transfer RNA (70 nucleotides) under Ictidomys tridecemlineatus (thirteen-lined ground squirrel). Its description in RNAcentral is "Spermophilus tridecemlineatus (thirteen-lined ground squirrel) tRNA". It matches the Rfam family "tRNA". From Rfam's summary of the family: Transfer RNA (tRNA) molecules are approximately 80 nucleotides in length. Their secondary structure includes four short double-helical elements and three loops (D, anti-codon, and T loops). The record is from Rfam by way of RNAcentral. Lineage: Eukaryota; Metazoa; Chordata; Mammalia; Rodentia; Sciuridae.